RNAcentral lists this non-coding RNA (63 nucleotides) under Rhodovulum sulfidophilum. RNAcentral describes it as "Glycine sequence". It matches the Rfam family "Glycine riboswitch aptamer", at positions 9 to 86 of the family's 94-position model. From Rfam's summary of the family: This family represents the bacterial glycine riboswitch. Glycine riboswitches usually consist of two metabolite-binding aptamers domains with similar structures in tandem. The aptamers cooperatively bind glycine to regulate the expression of downstream genes. RNAcentral also lists the same sequence under 1 other name. The record is from RNAcentral. Lineage: Bacteria; Pseudomonadati; Pseudomonadota; Alphaproteobacteria; Rhodobacterales; Paracoccaceae.
CUCUGGAGAGAGGCGCGCGAGGCGUCCGCCGAAGGGAUAGCGAUCUCAGGCGAAGGGACAGAG